GACGAACGCUGGCGGCGUGCCUAAUACAUGCAAGUUGAGCGCUGAAGGCUGGUACUUGUACCAACUGGAUGAGCAGCGAACGGGUGAGUAACGCGUGGGGAAUCUGCCUUUGAGCGGGGGACAACAUUUGGAAACGAAUGCUAAUACCGCAUAAAAACUUUAAACACAAGUUUUAAGUUUGAAAGAUGCAAUUGCAUCACUCAAAGAUGAUCCCGCGUUGUAUUAGCUAGUUGGUGAGGUAAAGGCUCACCAAGGCGAUGAUACAUAGCCGACCUGAGAGGGUGGACCGCCACAAUGGGACUGGGACCCCGCCCAAACUCCUACGGGAAGGCACAGUAGGGGAUCCUCCGCCAUGGACGAAAGUCUGACCGAGCCACGCCGCGGGAGUGAAGAAGGUUUUCGGAUCGUAAAACUCUGUUGGUAGGGAAGAACGUUGGUGAGAGUGGAAAGCUCAUCAAGUGACGGUAACUACCCAGAAAGGGACGGCUAACUACGUG
This 497-nucleotide ribosomal RNA is filed under the name uncultured bacterium. RNAcentral's name for it is "partial 16S ribosomal RNA". It matches the Rfam family "Bacterial small subunit ribosomal RNA", at positions 28 to 507 of the family's 1533-position model. The record is from RNAcentral.